Molecule: ribosomal RNA, 491 nt
Filed under: uncultured bacterium
Lineage: Bacteria
Description: partial 16S ribosomal RNA
Rfam family: Bacterial small subunit ribosomal RNA
Source: RNAcentral
AGUGAACGCUGGCGGUAGGCCUAACACAUGCAAGUCGAACGGCAGCACAGUAAGAGCUUGCUCUUACGGGUGGCGAGUGGCGGACGGGUGAGGAAUACAUCGGAAUCUACUUUUUCGUGGGGGAUAACGUAGGGAAACUUACGCUAAUACCGCAUACGACCUACGGGUGAAAGCAGGGGAUCUUCGGACCUUGCGCGAUUGAAUGAGCCGAUGUCGGAUUAGCUAGUUGGCGGGGUAAAGGCCCACCAAGGCGACGAUCCGUAGCUGGUCUGAGAGGAUGAUCCGCCACACGGGAACUGGAAACCGGCCCGACACCCUCGGGGGGGCAGAAGGGGGGAAUUUGGGAAAAGGGGCGAAAGCCUGACCCGGCCAUCCCGGGGGGGUGAAGAAGGCCUGCGGGUUGUAAAGCCUUUUUUUGGGGAAAAAAAAGCAGCAGGUUAAAACCCCGCUGUUUUGACGGGACCCAAAAAAAAAGCACCGGUAAACUUCGU